Molecule: long non-coding RNA, 513 nt
Organism: Peromyscus eremicus (cactus mouse)
Lineage: Eukaryota; Metazoa; Chordata; Mammalia; Rodentia; Cricetidae
Exons: 2
Source: RefSeq, a predicted model, not a curated record
UGGAUUAAGACAGCUCCCAAGUAUCUCCUGUGGAAUCUGAUGUGGAAGAGGCACCUAGGUACUAUCUGUUGAAUGCCUGGAUAAUGGACAUUGACUAUUGGAUGUUUAUUAGAAGAGCAUGAUCAUUAUGGACCUCUAGGGAGUUGUCAAAAAAUGAUUCCAAGUUCAAGUCAUGAGUGUGUUAAUCAAUGGGUUUGCCAGGCUGUCAACUCUUGUUUACAACAGAAGCCGUUCCUAAGAUGCUCAGUGGCCAGAGAGUCAGAAGAUCCUCUGCUGAGUCUUGAUUCCCGGGGAAGUCACUGUCUCUGAAUUUUAGUUACAAUGACAGGCUUCAGAAUCCCAGAAGUCUGAGGCAAGUGAAGUCUUUGGCACUGAUCUGGGUUGUCUGUGUACAACUGAAGAUGCCACACCUCAGAGAGAGGAAGCCACUUGUCCAAGCCACGCAGAAGGAUUGCUGCUGGGCCUCGAGGGAGGUGACUUCCCUCGUCAUCAAAUAAACAUGACUUUCAGAGA